Long non-coding RNA from Varanus komodoensis (Komodo dragon), 169 nucleotides. RefSeq lists it as uncharacterized. The transcript is spliced from 3 exons. The record is from RefSeq and is a predicted model, not a curated record. Lineage: Eukaryota; Metazoa; Chordata; Lepidosauria; Squamata; Varanidae.
UUUUGAAUGUCUCUAAUGUGGGAGAGCCCACCACCUCUCUAGGCAGAUUGUCCCACUGUUGUAUUGCUCUGACAGUGAGGAAGCUUUUCCUGAUGUCCAGUCUGAAUCUGGGUUGUUGCAAUUUGAACUGAUUACUCCGUGUCCUACAAUCUGGUGUUAAUGAGAAGAA